UUAAGUUCAGCGGGUAUCCCUACCUGAUCCGAGGUCAAGACGUUGAAAUAGGCUUCUGGAUCGCCGACCCACCCACGUCGUAAGCGCGACUGUGCUGCGCUCGCGGCGGGGGGAUGCGGCUGCCAAUCAAUUUGAGGCGAGUCCACGCGCGGGGGGCGGGACAAACACCCAACACCAAGCUGAGCUUGAAGGUUGAAAUG
RNAcentral lists this unclassified non-coding RNA (200 nucleotides) under Pleosporales sp. RNAcentral describes it as "partial internal transcribed spacer 2". Lineage: Eukaryota; Fungi; Ascomycota; Dothideomycetes; Pleosporales. The record is from RNAcentral.